UACGUAGGUGGCAAGCGUUGUCCGGAAUUAUUGGGCGUAAAGCGCGCGCAGGCGGCCUUUUAAGUCUGAUGUGAAAGCCCACGGCUCAACCGUGGAAGGUCAUUGGAAACUGAAAGGCUUGAGUACAGAAGAGGAAAGCGGAAUUCCACGUGUAGCGGUGAAAUGCGUAGAGAUGUGGAGGAACACCAGUGGCGAAGGCGGCUUUCUGGUCCGAUACUGACGCUGAGGAGCGAAAGCAUGGGGAGCGAACAGG
RNAcentral lists this ribosomal RNA (253 nucleotides) under uncultured bacterium. RNAcentral's name for it is "partial 16S ribosomal RNA". It matches the Rfam family "Bacterial small subunit ribosomal RNA", at positions 524 to 776 of the family's 1533-position model. The record is from RNAcentral.